GAACGCUGGCGGCAUGCCUUACACAUGCAAGUCGAACGGCAGCACGGGAGCAAUCCUGGUGGGCGAGUGGCGAACGGGUGAGUAAUAUAUCAGAACGUGCCCAGUCGUGGGGGAUAACGUAGCGAAAGCUACGCUAAUACCGCAUACGAUCUAUGGAUGAAAGCGGGGGAUCGCAAGACCUCGCGCGAUUGGAGCGGCCGAUAUCAGAUUAGGUAGUUGGUGAGGUAAAGGCUCACCAAGCCGACGAUCUGUAGCUGGUCUGAGAGGACGACCAGCCACACUGGGACUGAGACACGGCCCAGACUCCUACGGGAGGCAGCAGUGGGGAAUUUUGGACAAUGGGCGCAAGCCUGAUCCAGCAAUGCCGCGUGCAGGAUGAAGGCCUUCGGGUUGUAAACUGCUUUUGUACGGAACGAAACGGUGAGCUCUAAUACAGUUUGCUAAUGACGGUACCGUAAGAAUAAGCACCGGCUAACUACGUG
RNAcentral lists this ribosomal RNA (482 nucleotides) under uncultured bacterium. RNAcentral's name for it is "bacterial SSU rRNA". It matches the Rfam family "Bacterial small subunit ribosomal RNA", at positions 31 to 507 of the family's 1533-position model. The record is from RNAcentral.